UGUGGCCCUGUCGACUCGGAAACGUGAACCCCGCCAGGCCCGAGAGGGAGCAACGGUAGCGCGGAAGAGUGUGACAGGGCCUUUCCU
This 87-nucleotide signal recognition particle RNA is filed under the name Myxococcales bacterium 68-20. RNAcentral's name for it is "signal recognition particle sRNA small type". It matches the Rfam family "Bacterial small signal recognition particle RNA". Rfam says of the family: The signal recognition particle (SRP) is a universally conserved ribonucleoprotein involved in the co-translational targeting of proteins to membranes. Archaeal SRP consists of a 7S RNA and homologues of the eukaryotic SRP19 and SRP54 proteins. The record is from RNAcentral. RNAcentral also lists the same sequence under 5 other names. Lineage: Bacteria; Pseudomonadati; Myxococcota; Myxococcia; Myxococcales.